AACGAACGCUGGCGGCAGGCUUAACACAUGCAAGUCGAACGCCCCGCAAGGGGAGUGGCAGACGGGUGAGUAACGCGUGGGAAUCUACCGUGCCCUGCGGAAUAGCUCCGGGAAACUGGAAUUAAUACCGCAUACGCCCUACGGGGGAAAGAUUUAUCGGGGUAUGAUGAGCCCGCGUUGGAUUAGCUAGUUGGUGGGGUAAAGGCCUACCAAGGCGACGGUCCAUAGCUGGUCUGAGAGGAUGAUCAGCCACAUUGGGACUGAGACACGGCCCAAACUCCUACGGGAGGCAGCAGUGGGGAAUAUUGGACAAUGGGCGCAAGCCGGAUCCAGCCAUGCCGCGUGAGUGAUGAAGGCCUUAGGGUUGUAAAGCUCUUUCACCGAUGAAGAUAAUGACGGUAGUCGGAGAAGAAGCCCCGGCUAACUUCGUGCCAGCCGCCGCAGUAA
This 447-nucleotide ribosomal RNA is filed under the name uncultured bacterium. RNAcentral describes it as "partial 16S ribosomal RNA". It matches the Rfam family "Bacterial small subunit ribosomal RNA", at positions 29 to 523 of the family's 1533-position model. The record is from RNAcentral.